RNAcentral lists this ribosomal RNA (1050 nucleotides) under unidentified archaeon. Its description in RNAcentral is "bacterial SSU rRNA". It matches the Rfam family "Archaeal small subunit ribosomal RNA", at positions 1 to 1051 of the family's 1478-position model. The record is from RNAcentral.
UCCGGUUGAUCCUGCCAGAGGUCACUGCUAUCGGUGUUCGUCUAAGCCAUGCGAGUCAUAUGUUCUUCGUGAACAUGGCAUAUUGCUCAGUAACACGUGGAUAACCUGCCCUUGGGACCGGCAUAACCCCGGGAAACUGGGGAUAAUAUCGGAUACUCCGUAUCUGCUGGAAUGCUUUACGUUUUAAACGGUUUUUUCCGCCCAAGGAUGGGUCUGCGGCCUAUCAGGUAGUAGCGGGUGUAAUGUACCUGCUAGCCUACGACGGGUACGGGUUGUGAGAGCAAGAGCCCGGAGAUGGAUUCUGAGACAAUAAUCCAGGCCCUACGGGGCGCAGCAGGCGCGAAAUCUUUACAAUGCGGGGUCACCGUGAUAAGGGGACACCGAGUGCUAGCAAGAAUUGCUGGCUGUCCAGGUGCUUAACUUGCACCUGUUAGCAAGGGCCGGGCAAGACCGGUGCCAGCCGCCGCGGUAACACCGGCGGCCCGAGUGGUGAUCGUUAUUAUUGGGUCUAAAGGGUCCGUAGCCUGUUUGGUCAGUCUUCCGGGAAAUCUGCCAGCUUAACUGGUAGUCUAUCGGUGGAUACUGCCAGACUUGGAACCGGGUGAGGUAAGAGGUACUACAGGGGUAGGAGUGAAAUCUUGUAAUCCCUGUAGGACUACCUGUGGCGAAGGCGUCUUACCAGAACGGGUUCGACGGUGAGGGACGAAAGCUGGGGGCACGAACCGGAUUAGAUACCCGGGUAGUCCCAGCUGUAAACUAUGCUCGCUAGGUGUCAGGCACGGUGCGACCGUGUUUGGUGCCGCAGGGAAGCCGUGAAGCGAGCCACCUGGGAAGUACGGCCGCAAGGCUGAAACUUAAAGGAAUUGGCGGGGGAGCACAACAACGGGUGGAGCCUGCGGUUUAAUUGGACUCAACGCCGGAAAACUCACCGGGGGCGACAGCAAUAUGUAGGUCAGGCUAAAGACCUUACCUGAAUCGCUGAGAGGAGGUGCAUGGCCGUCGCCAGUUCGUACUGUGAAGCAUCCUGUUAAGUCAGGUAACGAGCGAGAC